RNAcentral lists this ribosomal RNA (425 nucleotides) under uncultured bacterium. RNAcentral's name for it is "bacterial SSU rRNA". It matches the Rfam family "Bacterial small subunit ribosomal RNA", at positions 359 to 776 of the family's 1533-position model. The record is from RNAcentral.
GAAUAUUGGACAAUGGGCGAAAGCCUGAUCCAGCCAUGCCGCGUGUGUGAAGAAGGUCUUCGGAUUGUAAAGCACUUUAAGUUGGGAGGAAGGGUUGUAGAUUAAUCCUCUGCAAUUUUGACGUUACCGACAGAAUAAGCACCGGCUAACUACGUGCCCGCAGCCGCGGUAAUACGUAGGGUGCAAGCGUUAAUCGGAAUUACUGGGCGUAAAGCGUGCGCAGGCGGUUUUGUAAGACAGAGGUGAAAUCCCCGGGCUCAACCUGGGAACUGCCUUUGUGACUGCAAGGCUAGAGUACGGCAGAGGGGGGUGGAAUUUCCUGUGUAGCGGUGAAAUGCGUAGAUAUAGGAAGGAACACCAGUGGCGAAGGCGACCACCUGGGCUCAUACUGACACUGAGGUGCGAAAGCGUGGGGAGCAAACAGG